Molecule: ribosomal RNA, 499 nt
Filed under: uncultured bacterium
Lineage: Bacteria
Description: partial 16S ribosomal RNA
Rfam family: Bacterial small subunit ribosomal RNA
Source: RNAcentral
AUUGAACGCUGGCGGAAUGCUUUACACAUGCAAGUCGAACGGCAGCACGGACUUCGGUCUGGUGGCGAGUGGCGAACGGGUGAGUAAUGUAUCGGAAAGUGCCCAGUCGUGGGGGAUAACGUAGUGAAAAUUACGCUAAUACCGCAUACGAUCUAUGGAUGAAAGCGGGGGAUCGCAAGACCUCGCGCGAUUGGAGCGGCCGAUAUCAGAUUAGGUAGUUGGUGGGGUAAAGGCCCACCAAGCCAACAAUCGGUAGCUGGUCUGAAAGGACGACCAGCCACACUGGAACUUAGACUCGGUCCAGACUCCUAGGGGAGGCAGCAUUGGUGAAUUUUUGACAAUGGCGAAAGCCUGAUCCAGCCAUUCCGCGUGCAGGAUGAAGGCCCUCGGGUUGUAAACUGCUUUUGUACAGAACGAAAAGGUUUCUACUAAUACUAGGAGCUCAUGACGGUACUGUAAGAAUAAGCACCGGCUAACUACGUGCCAGCCGCCGCCGUAA